This is a non-coding RNA of Monodelphis domestica (gray short-tailed opossum), 2887 nucleotides long. NCBI's taxonomy places the organism in Eukaryota, Metazoa, Chordata, Mammalia, Didelphimorphia, Didelphidae. The record is from RefSeq and is a predicted model, not a curated record.
CCAGCCUCAGCAUCCUUACUCACCAUGACCUCUCCAGGUUUGCCAGGCUCUCCAGGUUCUCCCUAAAAUGGGGAGAGUUAUGGGAUGAAGAUGGGGGUCCCCUAGGACAUAGGGUCCCUUCCCAUGUGACAAUAUGGUCAUAUUCCCCAACAUCUUAGAGAUCUGGGGCAGGGGCUCAGUACCCGGAAUGGGGGGCACAGGGGCAGCCUUAUGAGGAUUUAUUUAGCCUGGCUUGAGCUCAGGUUGAGUUACCUUCUCUCCCCUUCGACCAGCUGGUCCUGGAGGUCCCUGUGAAGAGACAAAGCAGCUCUUCUCAGGGAAAGGAGGGAGAAAGGGAGCCCCAGCCCCCAUCUCCCAUCUUCCUUUCCCUCUCCCCUCCACCACGGCCUUUCCCCAUCUUUUUCCAUCCCUUCUCUCUCAUCCCCCAUAUUCACCUCCGGACCCUCAGCUCCAGGUCUCCCUGACAAGCCAGGCUCCCCCUGUUGAGAGACACAGACCCUAAGGAGGGGUUCUUCCUCCCAUGUGCCCCUGGGGCUACAGCCAGACGGGCAGGGGAUGAAAAUAUCAAGUUCACAAGCUGCUCCCCUGAACGUAUUCUCCUGUGUUCGCUCCUCUAGACCGAGUGUUCCAGGCACUGGGUCCAUCCCAUAAUCUCUGUUCUAGAAUCUGUCCAGGGUCGGGAUGCUCCUAGGUUCUCUUCCCAAUCUGGUCUGCCAUCAUACAUGGCCUCCUCUUCAGGCCUAUCUGGUGUGUCCUAUGAGCACCCUUCAGAGUCUGUGGCUCAUGUGGACUACUCAGAAGGGAGUCGCUGCCAUAAGAAUACAUUGGAAGGAAGAAGAAAAGGGCCCAGGAAAGAGCUCCUCGAAAAGCUCUCUCUGGGGCAGUGGCCUGGUCAUGGGGCGUGGGGUGGGGUUGUGAAUCGCGGAGGGGCUUGGGGAAUCAAAGAGAAGUUAUUUGGGGCAACAAGGGCAAGAAAGGGAAGGGGAUGAGGUCCAAGGCAAUGGGGAAGGAUGUCGGGGAGCAAGGAGACCAUGAAGGGGCUAGGAAGGGGGGCUUUGAAGUACUGGGAAAGUUGUGGAGGUACAAAUCAGGUCUAACAACUCCAUCACCUUUAGGGGAACUGGGGGCCAGAAAGAUCCAGAGAAGCCUCUAGAUCCAAGGGAUUAAGAGGCCCCUAGAUAGCACAGUGCAUAAAGGGUCAAACCUGGAAUCAGGAGGACUGGGUUCAAAUUUGGCCUUAGACACUUCUUAGCUGUGUGACCCUGGGCAAGUCACUUAACCCCCAUUUCCUAGCCCUUACCACUCUUCUGCCUUGGAGCCAAUACACAGUAUUGAUUUUAAGAUAGAAGGUAAGGAUUAAAAAAAAAGACGGAAAUAAAAAAGAGCCAAGUAUUGGGUGAGCCAGUAGAAGGGACGGGUGAUUUGGAAGAGGAGUUUUGGGGUAGAGAAGUAAUAGAAGACACGGAUGGAUACCUCCACACCCUGCCCCCAACCCAGCCAACCAAUCUGAGAGCCACAACGUGCCCAAGAUAAGAGGAGUCCUGGAGCUCAAGGUCAAUCCUCUCAAUAGUCCCAGGGAAGAAACAACCCCAGACAGAGGAAGGGGCUUGGGGAUUAGAGGAUUUGGGACUAGGAGAGACCUUAGAGAUUAUUAAGACCAAUGCUCUCCUUUAAGAGAGAAGGGAAGUGACUGAUCCAAGAUGCCAGGAUGUCCCAUUCCUUCAUCCCCUUCCCCAUCCUUUGUUCCAAGGCUCCUUCCUCGACAUCUCAAUCGACUCUCAAGCUUACAUAGACAUAGCAAGUCAGGGGCAGAGCUGGGACUUGAAGCCAGGUCUCCAGACUCCCUGCUCAGGAACCUUCUGCUGUACCACACGGGUCCUCCUCAGCCAACACAACGUGACCUCAACACUUCCUGAAGCCCUCUGAAUCAUUCCCUCCAUCCAGCAUAUGGACUCACCUUCUCUCCGGCCUCCCCCAAUGACCCUGGCUGGCCUGGGUCUCCCUGGAAGAGAAAAUGGCAGAGAAUAAAGGUAAACAGGAAGCUUUCCCUGACUCAGCCCUGAUGGUGACCCCUGCCUCCCUCCAUUCCCAGCUCCCACGGUCGCUCUCCGGGGAAAUUUGCCCAUGUUCCAGAGCAUAAAAAGGAUUUGUCUGUCCUUUAUCCGCCAAUCAGACUGAGCUUCUGAGGGUUCCCUGCCUCUCUCAGCUAAAAUGCUUUACCACCUCUAGAACCUAGCAAAGAGAUCUGCAAACACCACAGUCGUCCCAGAGCCCCCACCUACCUGGACACCUGGCUCCCCCUUCUUGCCUGGCAGCCCUGCCCCUCCUCCUGUAACAGACCCAGGCUUCCCCUGCAGGAGCAAGCAAGCAGCUCUCUGGUCCUCUGUGGACCCUACACAGGAGGAUUCCCCCCUCUGCCAUCUGCCAAACACACAUGCCACAUCCUUCCCUGUGGGCUACUCUACCCAGCAGGAAUGCAAGAAAUUGGAACCAACCCCACCACCUCCCGGGGAGAGCCAUGGGAGUCUGCAGGACCAAGGACCACCGCCAUCCCUCCACUUUGCCCCAGGCACCAAAAGUCCUCAUCCUGGCACCAUGUAAAAGGGAACUUUAAUGGACACGAGAUCUACUCACUGUCACGCCAGGACUUCCAGGGUUCCCAGGGCUGCCUGGUCGCCCAUCCACGCCGGGGAAGCCCUUUAAGAAACAAAAAGUUCAGGGACCAAUGUGAGAGGAAAUGGUCCAGAGUUAAAACUAGAACACAGAGCAUUAUAGAGAGGGCUGAGGAUUGCCCACCCUACCUUCUCCUGAGGACUCAGAAACGGUUUUUCUUUAAUAUAUUCUAACAUUCAUAACUUAUAUUCGUCUAAUAAAAACAAUCAUAAAA